CCUAGUAACUGCGAGUGAAGCGGGAAGAGCUCAAAUUUAAAAUCUGACAGCCUUUGGCUGUUCGAGUUGUAAUCUAGAGAAGUGUUAUCCGCGCUGGACCGUGUACAAGUCUCCUGGAAUGGAACAUCAUAGAGGGUGAGAAUCCCGUCUUUGACACGGACUACCAGGGCUUUUGUGAUACGCUCUCAAAGAGUCGAGUUGUUUGGGAAUGCAGCUCUAAAUGGGUGGUAAAUUCCAUCUAAGGCUAAAUAUUGGCGAGAGACCGAUAGCGAACAAGUACCGUGAGGGAAAGAUGAAAAGAACUUUGGAAAGAGAGUUAAACAGUACGUGAAAUUGUUGAAAGGGAAACGCUUGAAGUCAGUCGCGUUGAUUAGGGAUCAACCUUGCUUCUUUGCUUGGUGUACUUCCUAGUUGAUGGGCCAGCAUCAAUUUUGACCAGUGGAUAAAGGUCAAGGGAAUGUGGCAUCUCCGGAUGUGUUAUAGCCUUUGAUUGUAUACAUUGGUUGGGAUUGAGGAACUCAGCACGCCACAAGGCCGGGUUUCGACCACGAUCGUGCUUAGGAUGCUGGCAUAAUGGCUUUAAUCGACCCGUCUUGAAACACGGACCAAGGAGUCUAACAUGCCUGCGAGUAUUUGGGUGGCAAACCCAUGUGCGUAAUGAAAGUGAAGAUCAGGAUCUCUGUCAUGGAGAGCACUGAUGCCCGGACCAGACCUUUUGUGACGGAUCUGCGGUAGAGCAUGCAUGUUGGGACCCGAAAGAUGGUGAACUAUGCCUGAAUAGGGUGAAGCCAGAGGAAACUCUGGUGGAGGCUCGUAGCGAUUCUGACGUGCAAAUCGAUCGUCAAAUUUGGGUAUAGGGG
RNAcentral lists this ribosomal RNA (860 nucleotides) under Macrocybe sardoa. RNAcentral describes it as "partial large subunit ribosomal RNA". It matches the Rfam family "Eukaryotic large subunit ribosomal RNA", at positions 79 to 923 of the family's 3401-position model. The record is from RNAcentral. Lineage: Eukaryota; Fungi; Basidiomycota; Agaricomycetes; Agaricales; Callistosporiaceae.